Molecule: RNA transcript, 1744 nt
Organism: Amphimedon queenslandica
Lineage: Eukaryota; Metazoa; Porifera; Demospongiae; Haplosclerida; Niphatidae
Gene name: DNA/RNA-binding protein KIN17-like
Exons: 12
Source: RefSeq, a predicted model, not a curated record
AGUUGGGUGUGGUCAAGAAAUAGGCAAGGUUUUCAACUUUUUUGUCGAAGCCUGUGUUUUCUUUGCUUUUAAAGAUGCCUAAACACGAGGCAAUGACUCCUAAAGCUAUCGCUAACAAGAUAAAGUCCAAAGGAUUACAGAAGCUCCGCUGGUACUGUCAAAUGUGCCAAAAGCAGUGUAGAGACGAAAAUGGAUUCAAGUGUCACAUCAUGUCAGAGUCCCAUCAAAGGCAGCUCCUACUAGUAGCGGAUAAUCCUGGUCGCUUUGUGGGGAGUUUUUCUGAAGAGUUUUUGAAAGGGUUUAUGGAUAUAUUGAGACGACAGUAUGGGACUAGACGUGUCCAUUGCAAUGUUGUGUAUCAGGAAUACAUCAGGGACAAGGACCAUUAUCACAUGAAUGCUACCAGGUGGUCUACACUAACUGGUUUUGUGAUGUAUUUGGGUCGUCAGGGUUUAUGUGAAGUGGAACCGACUCCUAAAGGAUGGUACAUCACUUACAUUGACAGGAGUCCUGAGGCACUGGCCAGACAAGCUGCGGAUGCAAAGAAGGUAAAGAUGGAUCGAGACGAUGAAGAGAGAACUCAGAAAAUGAUUGAAGAUCAAAUAGUUAGAGCUACGGCUCUUAAAAAGGUGAACGGCGAUAAUGAGUCUGACGAAGAAGGCGGGAACUAUACCGAACUUAUUAGAAAAGAUGAGAAUGAGAAAAUCACACUGUCGUUAUUUGGUUCCAAGACUAUUCCCCCUCCCCCUCCCUCCCUCCCUCCUCCUCCUCCUCCUCUACCCUAUCCCUCGGCAGUAAAGGAACACCUCCCAAUGGAAAUUAGCAAUGACACUGAUGAACUGCUGGAGGAGGCAAGACCAGCAAAGAUUAUGAAGAUUGAAUCAAAUGAUUUCCAAGAACCGAAACUACCCCCUCCCCCUCCUCCUCCUCCUCCUCCUGUUGCUGUGGUGAAGCCGUCAGUACCUAUGAAUCCUCUGAAGUUAGCGGAAUUAGAAGCAAAAGCUAAGAAGACAGCAAAGGCUGUCAAAAAACCAUCACAAGAAGAAAAGAAGAAGAAGUCGCUGUCGUCCCUGGAUACUGUUUUUAAAUUGGAGGAGGAAAGAAAAGAGAAAAUGAACCGAAAGGAUUACUGGCUACAUGUGGGAAUCAUAGUGAAAGUAUUGAACAAGAGACUUGGAGAGGACAUUUACAAGAAGAAAGGACUCAUUGAAGAGCUUCAUGAUCAAUACACAGCGUCCAUUAGAAUGCUUGACAGCAAAGAGAAAGUAAAAGUUGAUCAGUCCUAUCUGGAGACUGUUAUACCAGCUAUCGGUGAGGGAGGGGGAGAGAGAGGGAGAGAGAGCGAGAGAAUGACCACAAAGUUAUUAUUAUCACUCUUAGUUAUUAUUAAUGUGUGAGAUGAGAUAUUAGAGCUUAGCCACACCCAUUGACACACCUACAGGAAGUAUGGACCGUUAAUGAGUAUGUAUUAUUAAUAAUGAAUUGAUGAAUUGAUUGUUGAUAAUCAGCAGGAAAGGGAGAGCAUACAGUUUAUAAUAUACAGCAGUUAUUAAGUUAUUAAUUAUUCAUUAUUCAGUUUAAUAACUACUCAAUUAUUAGGUAUUAUUAUAGAAAAUCAUUAUUUUGAAAAACAGACUUCUUUUACGAAUAAAGUAGGACUGUUCUAAUAGUGAAUGGAGCCUACCGUGGCUAUAAAGCUAAACUUGAGGAUGUAAACGUUGACAAGUAUUGUGUGUCAGUUACC